Molecule: long non-coding RNA, 780 nt
Filed under: Ananas comosus (pineapple)
Lineage: Eukaryota; Viridiplantae; Streptophyta; Magnoliopsida; Poales; Bromeliaceae
Description: long non-coding RNA (ACOM_LNC016808)
Source: RNAcentral
CGGAAGGUAGCAAAACACUUCUCGACUUCCACGUGUGUUUGUUUGGGUGAAAGUGAGGGAGAAGUGGAGAGGGGGAAAGUUGUUUACGCCGUAAACUAUUACUUCCGUUAUUUGUUUUGCCGUAAUUUUAUUACGGUCGAAAGUCGAGUUCACCCAAAAUAGGGUAAUUGACUUCGUCCUCCCACAGGACGAAGUCAAUUCUGGUGAAGUGCAAAGAGGCAAAGGAGCUUGUUAAAUUUGGUUAGGUAAUGUGAUCAAAUUUAGUUAGAUAAGUUUUAAUAUAUUUUUUUGUCUAAUUUGUAUAUUUAGAAAAUGAUGAAAAAUGAAUUUGUUAAAUGUUAAUAAUUUUUUAACUUUAGAAUUUUAUUUGUUGCAUUAUUAUAAUUUAUAUGCAAACAAAUAAUAUAAAUUUUUAAAAUUUUAUUUUAUAAUUAUACAUAUAUAUAAUUAUAUACAUAUAUAAUUAUAUUAAUUUUUAUUUAUUAUAAUUUAUUAUUCACUAAGUUACAAAAUAAACAAUAAUAUCAUUUCGGAGGUAAGUAUACCGGGGGUGGAGAUCUACACCUUUUACGUCAUCUACUUCCUACCAAACAAAAAAUAGUACUCACAGAACUGCACUUCCAUAAUUAGAAACAAACAGCGGAAGUGAAUUAAUUUUCACCUAAACUUCACUUCAACUCAAAAUCCACUUCCACUCCAAGUCUAUGAAAUAAACAUGCCCUAAGUGGGUUCCGUGUCGUCGAAAAUGUUAAACUUUCUUCUAUGUCUACUUUUGCAUCU